RNAcentral lists this ribosomal RNA (506 nucleotides) under uncultured bacterium. RNAcentral's name for it is "partial 16S ribosomal RNA". It matches the Rfam family "Bacterial small subunit ribosomal RNA", at positions 28 to 523 of the family's 1533-position model. The record is from RNAcentral.
GAUGAACGCUAGCUACAGGCUUAACACAUGCAAGUCGAGGGGUAACGAGAGGGAAGCUUGCUUUCCUUGUCGACGACCGGCGGAUGGGUGAGUAACGCGUAUCCAACCUGCCCUUCAGUAAGGGAUAGCCUUUCGAAAGAAAGAAUAAUACCUUAUGUGAUCGUUUGAUGACAUCAGACGACGAUCAAAGAUUUAUCGCUGAAGGAUGGGGAUGCGUCCCAUUAGGCAGUAGGCGGGGUAACGGCCCACCUAACCUACGAUGGGUAGGGGUUCUGAGAGGAAGGUCCCCCACAUUGGAACUGAGACACGGUCCAAACUCCUACGGGAGGCAGCAGUGAGGAAUAUUGGUCAAUGGCCGUAAGGCUGAACCAGCCAAGUAGCGUGCAGGAUGACGGCCCUAUGGGUUGUAAACUGCUUUUAAACGGGGAUAAAGUGAGCCACGUGUGGUUUAUUGCAGGUACCGUUUGAAUAAGGACCGGCUAAUUCCGUGCCAGCAGCCGCGGUAA